GGGGCUGAUUCUGGAUUCGACGGGAUUUGCGAAACCCAAGGUGCAUGCCGAGGGGGGGUUGGCCUCGUAAAAAGCCGCAAAAAAUAGUCGCAAACGACGAAAACUACGCUUUAGCAGCUUAAUAACCUGCUUAGAGCCCUCUCUCCCUAGCCUCCGCUCUUAGGACGGGGAUCAAGAGAGGUCAAACCCAAAAGAGAUCGCGUGGAAGCCCUGCCUGGGGUUGAAGCGUUAAAACUUAAUCAGGCUAGUUUGUUAGUGGCGUGUCCGUCCGCAGCUGGCAAGCGAAUGUAAAGACUGACUAAGCAUGUAGUACCGAGGAUGUAGGAAUUUCGGACGCGGGUUCAACUCCCGCCAGCUCCACCA
Molecule: transfer-messenger RNA, 363 nt
Filed under: Escherichia coli
Lineage: Bacteria; Pseudomonadati; Pseudomonadota; Gammaproteobacteria; Enterobacterales; Enterobacteriaceae
Also listed under: 1 other name
Rfam family: transfer-messenger RNA
About the family: Bacterial tmRNA, also known as 10Sa RNA or SsrA, is named for its dual tRNA and mRNA-like properties.
Source: RNAcentral